This is an RNA transcript of Dermochelys coriacea (leatherback sea turtle), 6121 nucleotides long. It is a transcript of the gene named serine protease 12, with no coding region annotated. The record is from RefSeq and is a predicted model, not a curated record. The transcript is spliced from 14 exons. Lineage: Eukaryota; Metazoa; Chordata; Testudines; Dermochelyidae.
GGCUCCCAGGGGAGCGGGCGGGAGGAAGCGGAACUGGCCCUCAGUGGGUGCCUGGGUGGGCUGCCCAGCGGCUGGGGUGGCAGGAGAGUGAGGCCACCCCGUGUUCUGCAAGGGAGCGCGCGCGUGGGUGGGUGGGGGAGGGGGGGGCUAAGGGCCCGCACCCUGGGCUGGCGAGGCGCUGCCAAGGCAGGUAGCAGCAAUUCGCGCCCCCCCGGGAGCCGAGCGGCUCCGCUCCGGGGACAAGUACCGCGGCACCGGAGCGUAAGCCGGCCACGGGGAGGGUGUGCCCGCGGCGGGGGCGGUGGGGGCAGGAUUAGAGGGAAGCGGCGGCCCCGCCCUCCCCCUUCACACUGGGUUAGAGCCGAGGGGGAGAUGGCCCGGGAGAGGCGGCACUGGCACCAUGACAUUACCCAGCCUGCUGGUGGCUCUGAUUUUAGGGACGAGCCCCGCAGCGGGCAGCUUUGACGCGGCCUCUCUCAACCCUCCCCUGGCCCCUGCUCGUGGCCCGCAGCAUCCCCGCUCGCCCCACGCCCCGCCGGCCCCCCAGCACCAGCCCGGCUGCCCAGGGGGCGAAGGGCCCGGGGGGCGCUUUGUCAACGUGACCGAGUUCGGCGCCGAGUGCCUGCCCUGGGCGGAGGUGCCCGCUUUCCUGCAGAAGACCCCGCAGGGGAAGGGGCUGCGGGGCCAGCACAACUUCUGCAGGAACCCCGACGGCAGGAGCAGACCCUGGUGCUUCUACCGGAACAGCCGGGGCAGGGUGGAGUGGGGCUACUGCGACUGCAAACAAGGGUCAGUGCGACUUCGAGGUGGCAAGAAUGAGUUUGAAGGCACAGUUGAAGUUUAUUUGAAUGGAAUUUGGGGAACAAUCUGCAGCAGUCAUUGGGACAAUAAUGAUGCAUCAGUCAUAUGUCGGCAGCUUGAGCUUGGCAAAAGAGGUACAGCAAAGCAUAUGCCAUUUUCUGGACUGGGCCUUAUCCCUAUUUACUGGAGUGAUGUACGUUGCCAUGGUGAUGAAGAAAAUAUACUGCUGUGUGAAAAAGACAUCUGGCAGGGUGGAACAUGUCCUCAAAAAAUGGCAGCAGCUGUCAUGUGUAGCUUUUCCCAUGCCUUUAUUCCAAUCCGUCUGGCUGGUGGAAGCAAUGCUCAUGAAGGAAGAGUGGAAGUCUACCACACUGGCCAAUGGGGAACUGUCUGUGAUGACCAGUGGGAUGAUGCAGAUGCUGAAGUUGUCUGUAGGCAGCUUGGCCUUGGGGGAGUAGCCAAGGCAUGGAGCCAGGCUUACUUUGGAGAAGGCUCAGGCCCAGUGCUGCUGGAUGAAGUACGUUGUACAGGGAACGAGCUGUCCAUAGAAGAGUGUCCAAAGAGCUCCUGGCGAGACCACAACUGUGGCCACAAAGAAGAUGCAGGAGUUUCCUGCACACCUCUUACAGAUGGUGCAAUAAGACUAGCAGGUGGGAAAGGCAGUCAUGAAGGACGUCUGGAGGUACAUUACAGCGGGCAGUGGGGCACAGUCUGUGAUGACGGGUGGACUGAAAUGAAUACACAGGUGGUUUGUCGGCAGCUGGGAUUUAAGUAUGGAAAAAGUGCAUCAGAAAGCUACUUAGAAGAGAGGACUAGGCCUAUCUGGCUGGAUGAUGUCAGCUGCUCAGGAAAAGAAUCAACCAUUCUUCAGUGCUCAAAGAGAGAGUGGGGAAAGCAUGAUUGCAACCAUCAGGAGGAUGUCAGAAUAACCUGUCACCCAGAUAAUGACAGCCAUAGAUUCUCACUGGGUCCUCCCAUCAGGCUGAUGGAUGGUGAGAAUAAGAAAGAAGGACGUGUGGAGAUUUUUAUCAAUGGCCAGUGGGGCACAAUUUGUGAUGAUGGAUGGUCUGAUAAGGAUGCAGCUGUGGUCUGUCGACAGCUUGGCUACAAAGGCUCAGCUAGAGCAAGGACUAUGGCAUAUUUUGGAGAAGGGAAAGGACCAAUCCAUGUGGAUAAUGUGAAAUGUACAGGAAAUGAGAGAUCCCUGGAAGACUGCAUAAAACAGGAUAUUGGAACACACAACUGCCGUCACAGUGAAGAUGCUGGCGUGAUUUGCGACUACUUUGGCAAGAAAGCAUCCGGGAACAGUAAUAAAGAUUCCCUUGCUUCUGUUUGUGGAUUGAGGUUACUGCAUCGUCGACAGAAGCGGAUAAUUGGUGGGAAAAAUUCUUUAAGGGGCGGCUGGCCCUGGCAUGUUGCCCUCCGACUGAAAUCAUCUCAUGGUGAUGGAAGACUCUUAUGUGGCGCCACACUCAUCAGCAGCUGCUGGGUGAUCACUGCAGCACACUGUUUUAAGAGGUAUGGCAACAAUACUCGGAACUAUGCCGUGCGAGUUGGGGAUUAUCACACGCUGGUUCCUGAGGAGUAUGAGGAGGAAAUUGGAGUCCAACAGAUCGUGCUGCACAAAGAAUACAGGCCUGACAGCAACGACUAUGACAUUGCACUAGUGAGGUUGCAGGGACCAGACGAACAGUGUGCCAGAUUCAGCACCCAUGUCUUACCUGCAUGUUUGCCACUGAGGCGAGAGCGGCCACAGAAAACUGCCCCCAGCUGUUACAUCACUGGGUGGGGUGACACAGGAAGGGCCUAUUCAAGAACGUUACAACAAGCUGCCAUUCCCCUACUUCCUAAGAGACUUUGUGAAGAGCGUUAUAAGCGAAGGUUCACAGGGAGGAUGCUCUGUGCUGGAAACCUCCAAGAACAGAAACAUGUGGACAGUUGUCAGGGAGACAGUGGUGGACCACUCAUGUGUGAACGUCCAGGGGAAAGCUGGGUUGUGUAUGGGGUGACUUCCUGGGGUUAUGGCUGUGCAAUCAAAGACUCUCCAGGUGUUUAUACUAAAGUCUCAUCCUUUGUACCCUGGAUAAAAAGUGUGACCAAAUUGUGAUCAGCGUGACUCAGAAAAAGUAAGCAUUAAUAAAAGGAAGUUUCUGAGUCAAACGGGGCAGCUUGAACAGCACAGCCAAUGCACAGCUGGGGCCCACACUGGGUGGGAAAUGGACACAUUAUUCUGUUUUGCAUGUUUUUAUUUUUGUUGAAUCAAGGAUGCAUAUUCAUACUACUUGUACAGUUACAGAUUAAUGUGAAAUUUCCUUCAGGUUGAGCAAAAGUUUAUAUUUGCAUGGAAAAAUGCAAUAUAAAUAAAGUUGGAGGGGAAAAGGGGCCAACAUUUUACUCCAAUAUUGGACUGGGAAAAUUUGAGAGUUCAGUAUACUAGUUACUCCCCACGAGAAGACUGCACUGGCAUUUAUGCUUCAGGUUCCUCCCAGAAUUACUUAUAAUCCUCACUUCCAGCGUAACCUAUUUAGGUUGAUGGUUGCCCCAUUUAGAACUCCUCUAAUUUUAAAAAAAGGCAUUGUCCUUCUAUUCUGUCUCAUCUAUAUUUCAGGUAUAAGCACAGCACAGGCUUUGCAUACACAGGUCACAUUUGUCACUGGACCAUUCUUAGUAACACUUCACUAGAGCAGAUUGAUUGCAAGACCUGCCAAUAAUUAAAACCCAAUUCUUCAGAACAAAUGUCCACACAGGUUAGCAUCCCCCACUCCCCAAAUAAUGCACAAUGUCCAAGUACAACUGGUCAGUGCAGCAGGGUAGAGUAAAAUUCCUGCAAAUAAAGUGCCCUGUACACCUACGUGUGCCAGAUUAAAAAAUAAAAGGGGGUGGGAGAGGUAGGGGCAUAUUUGAAUUUCAGAAACACAGAGUAUCUUCAUUUAAAGAAAUGCCAAAAAACAGGGCACAUGCUAUUUUUGGUGGGAAUUACAUUGUCCUAUCCUGACAUCCACUACUAACUGGCCUAAAGGACACAGAAUAAGCCAAAAAUUUUCCUUGAAUAAAAAUGAAGGUUACUUAUCUAUAACAGGAGUUCUUUGAGAUGGGUCUGCAUAUUCACACUUAUAGGUACUCACUGCCUUAUGGUGCCUUACAGCAAACACCUCUUCCAACAGUGUCAGCUAGAGCAGUGUUUCCCAACCUGUGUGCCAAAGCAUUGAUGUGCCAUCAUGCUCAAACAGGUGUGCCGCAGAAUUUUUUGAAAAAGUAAGUGUGAGGACAUGGGGGAAAGCCACCUUCUAGUUGGCUGUCUCCCUCACUGCCCUGCCUCCUCCAGGGAUGGAGCAACCAAUCAGAGCUCAAUCUCCUGCUCCUGUGUGAGCAAGGGGUUGGCUUCUCUGUCCCUCCCACGCCCUGCUGUAGCCACCAGGUGGCGGGAAGAGCCCCUGGAGGUGAGGUGUGCCAUGGCAAAGAAAAAUUGGGAACCACUGAGCCAGAGUGCUCCUGUAUCCCUCACCCUCCCCACAGCAUCACAACGCACUGAGCACGAGGCUAUAAGGGGGUGGAGUGCCCUCACCACCUCAGUUCCUUCCACUGCAAAGCAAGAGACAAGGAAUAACAAGGACUCUGUCAGAGAAGGGAAGGUAGAAAGCAUGAAUACACAAGAAGAACUCCAGAUACAAUAAGUAACCUUAAUUUAUUCUUUGAGUGGUUCUGCAUAUUCCCACUUAAGGGACAGACUGAUAAGACCUGCUGAAACUAACCUGGAAGCAGAAACAAAUUCCUAGUUGAAUAGAUUGAGGCACCCUCUUGCCAAAUCUGGCAUCCAGGCUAGAAGCCAAGUCCAGACCAUAGUGUCAGGUGAAAGUCUACACCUAAGUCCAGGUUGCAGCUUUGCAAAUUUCAGCAUCUGCCUAAGGCAAAGGAAGUAGCCAGAGCUGUAAUGAAAUGCUAUUGGAUUGCAGCAGGUACAGGGCCUUUUGCCAAUGUGUAGAACUCAGCAGUACAUUGUUUAAUCCACUUAGAACUACCUUGUCCUUAUGAAAAGUAGUAAAAAAUGCGAGUCAGCCACAAGGGCAUUCAAUUCACUUACUCUCCUGACUGAUGCAAGGGCAAUAAUGAAAACCGCACAGGCAAACAUGGCUGCUCAAGAGCGGACAGAUUCAAAGUCCAUUCAUGCACACCCAUUGUAGGUACAGCCUGGCAGCUACAUAAUACCAAUACCUGCAACAUAUUUCCUUGCAGAUAAUCCAUCCAAUUCCUAAUCAGCUUGUUCAUGUUACAUUUAUGACAUGAGAAAAAAAAUUAGAGCCCAAGGCCGAAUGACUGCAGGUUAGUCCUUUCAAAUUCUAAGGUUUUUUUCUUUUCACAAUGCAUUACUAAAAAAUAAUAUAAUAGCCAGUUUUCAUAGACCUCUACCCCAAAAAAACAUUCACACCUGUUUCCUCAGCUGAUUCUCUAAUAAAUACUACUCUCAAGACUAUAGAAACCUAUGAUUAAACACUAUAAAAAGUGAAAAAAAGCAACCCUUAUUGUUGUGACAAUACAAGUAUUAAUGAUGCAAAAUUAUAAAUUAGUCCAUAAGGAAUGGUCACUACAUUAUUACAUUGUUAUACUAACCUUUCUUUGUUAGUAGUCUCAAAAUUAUUCAAGAUAAACACAAAACUUGUGCUAUUUCUAGGAUGCAUGGAAUGCCCAUUAGGGCAUUCUAAAUUGUUAUACACAAAUAUUUUCUUUGCUCAUGACAUUUUUGGCAAACUAUCACUUUUUAAAAGAUGUAAUGAAACCUCUGUAGGCCAAGGAACAUUUGUGUGUGUGAAAUGUGGCCAUUCAGUGUCAUCAAAUUGCCAAUGUGUGAUUGUACAAUAUUGUGACAAGUAACUACUAUUUAAUAGUAUGUGGUUCCCUUCCCCACUCUGGAAAUUCCAGUUGUGACAAUGUGUUGUGGCCUUUUGUGCACAAAAUGCAAUGCUUGUACUAAUGUUUGAUAGAUGUGUAACUAUGUGUUACACUCAUGUCUGUAUGUGUCCAUCUACACGUUCAAUUCUGUUACUGUUAUCCAAUUUCACACCUUAGUUAGCAUGCAAAAGAGUUGUGGCAAUAUUAUAGACUCCCUACAUGUGAUUUAAUUCUUAUUCAGACUUGGCCCUCAAUUUAAUGGCAAUGAAUGUGUUUUAAAGGGCCAUUCCCAAUAUAAACAUCUUGUUGGAAUUGGUGCUAUAUUAGUAUAAUCAGGUGCGUUUAUACAGUAUUUGUACAACUUUCUGUAAUUUUGCACUAUUUGGAGAAUAUAAAACACUGUAUGUUAGAAAUGCAAAUAAAUAUAUUGGGU